RNAcentral lists this ribosomal RNA (255 nucleotides) under uncultured bacterium. RNAcentral describes it as "partial 16S ribosomal RNA". It matches the Rfam family "Bacterial small subunit ribosomal RNA", at positions 524 to 776 of the family's 1533-position model. The record is from RNAcentral.
UACGUAGGGUGCAAGCGUUGUCCGGAUUUAUUGGGCGUAAAGAGCUCGUAGGCGGUUUGUCGCGUCGGAUGUGAAAACCCAGGGCUCAAUCCUGGGCCUGCAUUCGAUACGGGCAGACUAGAGUAUGGCAGGGGAGACUGGAAUUCCUGGUGUAGCGGUGAAAUGCGCAGAUAUCAGGGAGGAACACCGGUGGCGAAGGCGGGUCUCUGGGCCAAAACUGACGCUGGAGGAGCGAAAGCGUGGGGAGCGAACAGG